This 1526-nucleotide ribosomal RNA is filed under the name uncultured bacterium. RNAcentral's name for it is "bacterial SSU rRNA". It matches the Rfam family "Bacterial small subunit ribosomal RNA". The record is from RNAcentral.
AGAGUUUGAUCCUGGCUCAGAUUGAACGCUGGCGGAAUGCUUUACACAUGCAAGUCGAACGGGGCUUGGGGGCUUGCUCCCUUGCUUAGUGGCGAACGGGUGAGUAAUGCGUCGGAACGUACCGAGUAAUGGGGGAUAACGCAGCGAAAGUUGUGCUAAUACCGCAUACGCCCUGAGGGGGAAAGUGGGGGACCGCAAGGCCUCACGUUAUUCGAGCGGCCGACGUCUGAUUAGCUAGUUGGUGGGGUAAAGGCCCACCAAGGCGACGAUCAGUAGCGGGUCUGAGAGGAUGAUCCGCCACACUGGGACUGAGACACGGCCCAGACUCCUACGGGAGGCAGCAGUGGGGAAUUUUGGACAAUGGGGGCAACCCUGAUCCAGCCAUUCCGCGUGAGUGAAGAAGGCCUUCGGGUUGUAAAGCUCUUUCAGCUGGAGUGAAACGGUGAGCGCUAAUAUCGCUUGCUAAUGACGGUACCAGCAGAAGAAGCACCGGCUAACUACGUGCCAGCAGCCGCGGUAAUACGUAGGGUGCGAGCGUUAAUCGGAAUUACUGGGCGUAAAGCGUGCGCAGGCGGAUUGUUAAGCAAGACGUGAAAUCCCCGGGCUUAACCUGGGAAUGGCGUUUUGAACUGGCAGUCUAGAGUGCGUCAGAGGGGGGUGGAAUUCCACGUGUAGCAGUGAAAUGCGUAGAGAUGUGGAGGAACACCGAUGGCGAAGGCAGCCCCCUGGGAUGACACUGACGCUCAUGUACGAAAGCGUGGGUAGCAAACAGGAUUAGAUACCCUGGUAGUCCACGCCCUAAACGAUGUCAACUGGUUGUUGGGGGAGUGAAAUCCCUUAGUAACGAAGCUAACGCGUGAAGUUGACCGCCUGGGGAGUACGGUCGCAAGAUUAAAACUCAAAGGAAUUGACGGGGACCCGCACAAGCGGUGGAUGAUGUGGAUUAAUUCGAUGCAACGCGAAAAACCUUACCUACCCUUGACAUGUCCGGAAUCCUGCAGAGAUGCGGGAGUGCCUGAAAGGGAAUCGGAACACAGGUGCUGCAUGGCUGUCGUCAGCUCGUGUCGUGAGAUGUUGGGUUAAGUCCCGCAACGAGCGCAACCCUUAUCAUUAGUUGCUACGCAAGGGCACUCUAAUGAGACUGCCGGUGACAAACCGGAGGAAGGUGGGGAUGACGUCAAGUCCUCAUGGCCCUUAUGGGCUGGGCUACACACGUGCUACAAUGGUGGUGACAAUGGGAAGCAAUAUCGCAAGAUGGAGCGAAUCCCCAAAAGCCACCUCAGUUCAGAUUGUCCUCUGCAACUCGAGGGCAUGAAGUCGGAAUCGCUAGUAAUCGUAGAUCAGCAUGCUACGGUGAAUACGUUCUCGGGCCUUGUACACACUGCCCGUCAAACCAUGGGAGUUGAUUUUACCCGAAGUCGGUCAGCUAACUCGCAAGAGAGGCAGCCGCCCACGGUAGGAUGAAUGACUGGGGUUAAGUCGUAACAAGGUAACCGUAGGGGAACCUGCGGUUGGAUCACCUCCUU